GCAGGGGAUAACAUUUGGAAACAAGUGCUAAUACCGUAUAACACUAACAACCGCAUGGUUGUUAGUUGAAAGGUGGUUCUGCUAUCACUAAGAGAUGGACCCGCGGUGCAUUAGCUAGUUGGUAAGGUAAUGGCUUACCAAGGCGAUGAUGCGUAGCCGAGUUGAGAGACUGAUCGGCCACAAUGGGACUGAGACACGGCCCAUACUUCUACGGGAGGCAGCAGUAGGGAAUCUUCCACAAUGGGCGCAAGCCUGAUGGAGCAACGCCGCGUGUGUGAUGAAGGGUUUCGGCUCGUAAAACACUGUUAUAAGAGAAGAACGACAUUGAGAGUAACUGUUCAGUGUGUGACGGUAUCUUAUCAGAAAGGAACGGCUAAAUACGUGCCAGCAGCCGCGGUAAUACGUAUGUUCCAAGCGUUAUCCGGAUUUAUUGGGCGUAAAGCGAGCGCAGACGGUUAUUUAAGUCUGAAGUGAAAGCCCUCAGCUCAACUGAGGAAGGGCUUUGGAAACUGGAUAACUUGAGUGCAGUAGAGGAAAGUGGAACUCCAUGUGUAGCGGUGAAAUGCGUAGAUAUAUGGAAGAACACCGGUGGC
Molecule: ribosomal RNA, 593 nt
Filed under: uncultured bacterium
Lineage: Bacteria
Description: bacterial SSU rRNA
Rfam family: Bacterial small subunit ribosomal RNA
Source: RNAcentral